UAACUGUUCNNNCAGGGACGGUAUCCAACCAGAAAGUCCNGGCUAAUUACGUGCCAGCAGCCGCGGUAAUACGUAGGUGGCAAGCGUUAUCCGGAUUUAUUGGGCGUAAAGNNAGCGCAGGCGGUUGCUUAGGUCUGAUGUGAAAGCCUUCGGCUUAACCGAAGAAGUGCAUCGGAAACCGGGCGACUUGAGUGCAGAAGAGGACAGUGGAACUCCAUGUGUAGCGGUGGAAUGCGUAGAUAUAUGGAAGAACACCAGUGGCGAAGGCGGCUGUCUGGUCUGCAACUGACGCUGAGGCUCGAAAGCAUGGGUAGCGAACAGGAUUAGAUACCCUGGUAGUCCAUGCCGUAAACGAUGAGUGCUAGGUGUUGGAGGGUUUCCGCCCUUCAGUGCCGGAGCUAACGCAUUAAGCACUCCGCCUGGGGAGUACGACCGCAAGGUUGAAACUCAAAGGAAUUGACGGGGGCCCGCACAAGCGGUGGAGCAUGUGGUUUAAUUCGAAGCUACGCGAAGAACCUUACCAGGUCUUGACAUCUUGCGCUAACCUUAGAGAUAAGGCGUUCCCUUCGGGGACGCAAUGACAGGUGGUGCAUGGUCGUCGUCAGCUCGUGUCGUGAGAUGUUGGGUUAAGUCCCGCAACGAGCGCAACCCUUGUUACUAGUUGCCAGCAUUAAGUUGGGCACUCUAGUGAGACUGCCGGUGACAAACCGGAGGAAGGUGGGGACGACGUCAGAUCAUCAUGCCCCUUAUGACCUGGGCUACACACGUGCUACAAUGGANNGGUCCAACGAGUCGCAAGCUCGCGAGAGUAAGCUAAUCUCUUAAAGCCGUUCUCAGUUCGGACUGUAGGCUGCAACUCGCCUACACGAAGUCGGAAUCGCUAGUAAUCGCGGAUCAGCAUGCCGCGGUGAAUACGUUCCCGGGCCUUGUACACACCGCCCGUCACACCAUGGGAGUUUGUAACGCCCAAAGUCGGUGGCCUAACCUUUAUGGAGGGAGCCGCCUAA
This 1007-nucleotide ribosomal RNA is filed under the name Limosilactobacillus reuteri. Its description in RNAcentral is "bacterial SSU rRNA". It matches the Rfam family "Bacterial small subunit ribosomal RNA", at positions 455 to 1460 of the family's 1533-position model. Lineage: Bacteria; Bacillati; Bacillota; Bacilli; Lactobacillales; Lactobacillaceae. The record is from RNAcentral.